Suncus etruscus (white-toothed pygmy shrew) is the source of this 152-nucleotide small nucleolar RNA. RefSeq annotates it as small nucleolar RNA SNORA58. The transcript has a single exon. The record is from RefSeq and is a predicted model, not a curated record. NCBI's taxonomy places the organism in Eukaryota, Metazoa, Chordata, Mammalia, Eulipotyphla, Soricidae.
ACUCGUAGAUGUAGACCUUGCUUUACUCUGCUUGUGCAUAGGCAGUGGGGAAAGUGUAUGCAAGAGUUCAUGCAGAAGUUAAUUUGGAGUUCAUGCCAGCUCUUGUCAGCUUAAUGUGUGGCUGAUUAAAUUGCAGCCGUACUCCUACAUUU